AGAAGUCGUACCAAGGUUUUCGUAGGGGACCUUGCGAAAGGAUCAUAAU
This 49-nucleotide ribosomal RNA is filed under the name Caulerpa racemosa. RNAcentral's name for it is "partial 18S ribosomal RNA". The record is from RNAcentral. Lineage: Eukaryota; Viridiplantae; Chlorophyta; Ulvophyceae; Bryopsidales; Caulerpaceae.